This 87-nucleotide transfer RNA is filed under the name Chloroflexota bacterium. RNAcentral describes it as "Chloroflexi bacterium tRNA-Leu". It matches the Rfam family "tRNA". Rfam says of the family: Transfer RNA (tRNA) molecules are approximately 80 nucleotides in length. Their secondary structure includes four short double-helical elements and three loops (D, anti-codon, and T loops). The record is from RNAcentral. RNAcentral also lists the same sequence under 1 other name. Lineage: Bacteria; Bacillati; Chloroflexota.
GCCGAGGUGGUGGAAUUGGUAGACACGCUGUCUUGAGGGGGCAGUGGGCGUGCGCCUGUGUGGGUUCAAAUCCCGCCCUCGGCACCA